This is a long non-coding RNA of Cyprinus carpio (common carp), 1500 nucleotides long. RefSeq lists it as uncharacterized. The record is from RefSeq and is a predicted model, not a curated record. The transcript is spliced from 2 exons. Lineage: Eukaryota; Metazoa; Chordata; Actinopteri; Cypriniformes; Cyprinidae.
UGGUUAAUGAGAAUGUUUGCACCUGCAGCUUCAGCUUUAAAAUUACCACUUCUCAAAAAAGGCUCAAAUUUACAGUGUGCAUACACUCACGCAGAGCCAUUCCAGCCUCUUCAGAUAACAGAACCUCAGAACAAACUAGUAACAGACCGAAAAGAACCAUGAUAAGUCGCAGAACAGUUUAUUUUGUAUGCUUUGCAUUGCUCUUCGGAACGACAGCUGCUGAAGCCAUAGAUGAGAACAACACAACAACAGACACAAUAGAAGUCAAAACAACAGAAGACCCACCAUUCACAGGAAAAGAAUUCACACCAGUCACAAAAACAGAAGACACAACUACUAUAACAGGCAAAAAUGGCACCAUAUCAACAUCCAACAUUAAUAGGCAGACAACCAAACUAAACCCUGCAGCGACAACAAAUAAACAACCAGUAUGCACUCAGGCCACUCAUAAACCCAAGGAAGGACACUGUAUUUUCUCUCUACCAACUGAUAACGUUACCCUGCUACUGAUUGUGGUUGGUCUAACAGUGGGCUGCUUGGCAUUGUUGCUGACCACACUGAUAUGCGCCUGCCAGGUUUGUCACCUGAGACGAAUUAUCUCUAGUCUCCAGCUUCAUUAUGACAACAUUGCCGUAAGUGAGAAGAGUGAAUUGCCAUGCAGGGAUGAAGGCCAAGCGGACGGGCAGCUAACUGAGACCUGCCUUAUGCUAUCAGAGGUCACCGCAGCACAAGAGGAGAGUAGAGAGGAUGAGGGGAACAAUACUGAGUCCUGCACUGAGCCGCCUGUGAAGGACUCAAAAGUAGAUGUCACCCAAGAGAACAGUCUUGAGCCUGAUGCAAAAGCACCAGAGAGCUCCGACACAGGGGUGUGAUCACGAUCAGACACUUAACAAAUGGGUGUCCCACAACUCCCCCUGGUGGCAUUUAAAGUCUGCACCUGCUUAAGCUUAAACUGUUAUCUAAUGCAUAAGACUCAGGAAGAAGGUCUGAAAUCUGAACGUAUAAAAUUAGAUAUAUAUAAAAAGCACUGAAAAUACCGCAAAUAAGCCUUUGUCACUCUCAACAUUGUUUUUCUUCAUUUAGUCUUUAACAAUAUUGUAUGGCCAUGUUUCAAAUGUGUGCAUUUAUGUUGUCUGUAUUUUAAAUAAUAUAUCUGUAUUUUGUUCACAAUGCAAAAAAAAUCCUUAAACAACCUUAAAUGAGAUAUAUGUAGUUGAAAAACAAAAACAUGCAUAAGACUAUUUUUUUUGGGAGUAUAUCUAUUUAUUGGUUUUAUUUUUAUGCUUAAAACAACUAUUUACCAAUAUGGUAAGAAUUAUUUUUUAAUGAAUUAUAAUUCUUUUCUCUGAAAACAAUCAGAUCCAAUUUUACGAGUAAGCUUAUCUUGUUUUAAGGAUGUUCAAAUAGUUUUUAGUAAAAAAAAUUUAAAAAAAAGAUUAGAAAAUGACUGUGUGUAGUUUUGUGUUUUUGAGAAAUAAAACAAUUCAAACCUUGAAACUA